This is a non-coding RNA of Salmo salar (Atlantic salmon), 58 nucleotides long. Lineage: Eukaryota; Metazoa; Chordata; Actinopteri; Salmoniformes; Salmonidae. The record is from Rfam.
UGGCUCAGUUGGUAGAGCAUGGUGUUUGCAACGCCAGGGUUGUGGGUUCGAUUCUCAU